AUGAGGCGGCAAGGCCACCGUGUUGUGAGAGCUCGGCGAGGAACUGGAGAAGGGAGUUCUUCUCAUGCUGUAGGCAGGAACUUCCGGGAGAGGCCAAGGAGAUCAGCAGCACUAGAGCAAGGCCAAGGGAAGUAUCUCCACAGCAAGGCGGUGAUAGCUCGGUUCAAUAGCUCCGGCGAUCUCUACACCAUCAACAAUGCCUCUUCUCCAUCACCUCAAGCCAUGCACGCCUCUGUCACCUUAUGGCAUCGCCAUUUCGGUCACCCCACGGCCGCCACAACCACCAAGCUUCUUCAAGAGUUUCAGCUUCCGCAUGAUCGCGACUCCCACGACGCCUCCUGA
Molecule: ribosomal RNA, 342 nt
Filed under: Triticum aestivum (bread wheat)
Lineage: Eukaryota; Viridiplantae; Streptophyta; Magnoliopsida; Poales; Poaceae
Description: partial small subunit ribosomal RNA
Source: RNAcentral